RNAcentral lists this transfer RNA (60 nucleotides) under Caudoviricetes sp. Its description in RNAcentral is "tRNA-Ser". The record is from RNAcentral. Lineage: Duplodnaviria; Heunggongvirae; Uroviricota; Caudoviricetes.
GCACGCGGUAAGGUAACGCCGCUCUAGCGGCGGCGGCGGGUUCGACUCCCGGCGCGUGCA